UGUACCGAGCUCAGCAGAUCAUCCAGCUCAACAUCCAAGCUUCCCCUAAAGUACGACUGAGCUUGGCAAACGAAGCUCUGCUGCCCACCCUCAUCUGCGACAUUGCUGGCUAUUACCCUCUGGAUGUGGUGGUGACGUGGACCCGAGAGGAGCUGGGUGGAUCCCCAGCCCAAGUCUCUGGUGCCUCCUUCUCCAGCCUCAGGCAAAGCGUGGCAGGCACCUACAGCAUCUCCUCCUCUCUCACCGCAGAACCUGGCUCUGCAGGUGCCACUUACACCUGCCAGGUCACACACAUCUCUCUGGAGGAGCCCCUUGGGGCCAGCACCCAGGUUGUCCCACCAGAGCGGAGAACAGCCUUGGGAGUCAUCUUUGCCAGCAGUCUCUUCCUUCUUGCACUGAUGUUCCUGGGGCUUCAGAGACGGCAAGAGUAGAAAGAAAGAGUAGUCACGUGCUCCCAGAAGGACUCUAAGUCAAGUCACAGAGCUAAAAAUACAUGAAGGUGGCACCAGCUCAUGGGGCACUGGGCCUGGCUCUGCAGAGGCCUCUGCCUUCCUUCACUGUGCACCCUGGGCUCAUGCACCAAGGCAGAGAACAGGAAGAAGUGAGGGGACAAGAAGAAGGCAGAAUGUCCAGAUGGAGGAUAAGACCAAAGAGCCAGCACCUACAGGACUUGGGCUGCUUCAGGCUGAACGCUGGGAGACCACUUCCUGUGCUGACACACAGAGCUCCCAUCUCCAUGAAGACCGCACAGCGCGUGUAAGCCAGCCCAGCUGACCUAAAGCGACAUGAGACUACUAGAAAGAAACGACACCCUUCCCCAAGCCCCCACAGCUACUCCAACCCAAACAACAACCAAGCCAGUUUAAUGGUAGGAAUUUGUAUUUUUUGCCUUUGUUCAGAAUACAUGACAUUGGUAAAUAUGC
This 923-nucleotide long non-coding RNA is filed under the name Homo sapiens (human). RNAcentral's name for it is "HSALNT0184855". Lineage: Eukaryota; Metazoa; Chordata; Mammalia; Primates; Hominidae. The record is from RNAcentral.